AGGGAUCAUGACGAGGCGACCUUUGGUCUUGCAGCUUGGCAAGACAAACGAGGGAGCUUAGAAAUACGCCGAGUUUCUUCACCUUUGCAAGAGGUGAUUCACAGAUUUUGGAAUUGAUGUUCAGUUUUUAAGUUACAUAAUUAUUUUUGCCAAAACUUGAGAAGAGAGCUGGCAAUUAGGAGUCAGAAAAUCUGAGGUCAAAUUUAGGAGUUUGCAAGAACUCUCUUUUGUGUUACUGCUACCAGAUUCAGAGGAUGCAAUUUUAUCUAGUUCUUCCUUUUAAAAAGGGGUACACAUUUGGAUUUUUAU
Long non-coding RNA from Humulus lupulus (European hop), 309 nucleotides. RefSeq lists it as uncharacterized. The transcript is spliced from 3 exons. The record is from RefSeq and is a predicted model, not a curated record. Lineage: Eukaryota; Viridiplantae; Streptophyta; Magnoliopsida; Rosales; Cannabaceae.